GCCAGCAUAGUAUAGUGGUUUGAGUGUUGAACUGCAACUCUCGAGAUCAGGGUUCGAUUCCCUGCUCGGCCA
Non-coding RNA from Phrynosoma platyrhinos (Desert horned lizard), 72 nucleotides. The record is from the annotation of a GenBank genome assembly. Lineage: Eukaryota; Metazoa; Chordata; Lepidosauria; Squamata; Phrynosomatidae.